This 1849-nucleotide small RNA is filed under the name Pan troglodytes (chimpanzee). Its description in RNAcentral is "processed transcript". The record is from RNAcentral. Lineage: Eukaryota; Metazoa; Chordata; Mammalia; Primates; Hominidae.
AAGAUGGCGUCUGCGAGGCCGCGGGAUGCGGAGUGAGCGCGCCCCGCCGGGGGCUGUGCGAGGCUGCUGCUCUCCCCGUCGCCGCCGCCGCCGCCGCCACUGCGGCGCCGCCUCUCCGCCAGCCACUGCGCCGCGGCCAAGCCUCCUGCCUCGCAGAUACAGAUGAAUAUAGACCUCCUGUUUGGAAAUCUUACUUAUAUCAGCUACAACAGGAAGCCCCUCAUCCUCGAAGAAUUACCUGUACUUGCGAGGUGGAAAACAGACCAAAGUAUUAUGGAAGAGAGUUUCAUGGCAUGAUCUCCAGAGAAGCAGCUGACCAGCUCUUGAUUGUGGCUGAGGGGAGCUACCUCAUCCGGGAGAGCCAGCGGCAGCCAGGGACCUACACUUUGGCUUUAAGUUGACAUCACUUGUUAGAAGAGCAACUCUGAAAGAAAACGAGCAAAUUCCAAAAUAUGAAAAGAUUCACAAUUUCAAGGUGCAUACAUUCAGAGGGCCACACUGGUGUGAAUACUGUGCCAACUUUAUGUGGGGUCUCAUUGCUCAGGGAGUGAAAUGUGCAGAUUGUGGUUUGAAUGUUCAUAAGCAGUGUUCCAAGAUGGUCCCAAAUGACUGUAAGCCAGACUUGAAGCAUGUCAAAAAGGUGUACAGCUGUGACCUUACGACGCUCGUGAAAGCACAUACCACUAAGCGGCCAAUGGUGGUAGACAUGUGCAUCAGGGAGAUUGAGUCUAGAGGUCUUAAUUCUGAAGGACUAUACCGAGUAUCAGGAUUUAGUGACCUAAUUGAAGAUGUCAAGAUGGCUUUCGACAGAGAUGGUGAGAAGGCAGAUAUUUCUGUGAACAUGUAUGAAGAUAUCAACAUUAUCACUGGUGCACUUAAACUGUACUUCAGGGAUUUGCCAAUUCCACUCAUUACAUAUGAUGCCUACCCUAAGUUUAUAGAAUCUGCCAAAAUUAUGGAUCCGGAUGAGCAAUUGGAAACCCUUCAUGAAGCACUGAAACUACUGCCACCUGCUCACUGCGAAACCCUCCGGUACCUCAUGGCACAUCUAAAGAGAGUGACCCUCCACGAAAAGGAGAAUCUUAUGAAUGCAGAGAACCUUGGAAUCGUCUUUGGACCCACCCUUAUGAGAUCUCCAGAACUAGACGCUAUGGCUGCAUUGAAUGAUAUACGGUAUCAGAGACUGGUGGUGGAGCUGCUUAUCAAAAACGAAGACAUUUUAUUUUAAAUUUUUAAUUUGAGGGGAAAAGAAAUGUUUUACAGAUGAAGGAAUGUUUUAUAGUAAUUUAAUUUGCUCCUGUAGCUGCAUUAUUUCUUGAUUAGAGGUUUGGGCAUAUAACCAGAUUAAAGUGAAGGAACUUUCUGUUGUUUUUGUAGCACCGCUCAGCUGUCUUGUAAAACAGUGAACACACGCUUUCUGGUUCUAGUAAUCCUGGGUGUUUAUCACGUUCAGAGAAACUCAAGCUAUUGCAUGAUUAGCCCCCUAUCUGGCAAGGAAACCCCAUACAGAAGAAACAACAAACCUGCGCCUGCACCGCCUCUGCGUCCUGGGUAGUCUGUGCUUGUAAUCCAGCAUGUUUCACAGAGUAAGCCUGUUGUGACUUUGCUUUUGGGGUCUAUGUCAUUGGUUUCUGAUGCUUGUACAAACACGCACUCACAAAUGGAUAAAACAGCACCUCUGGCUGUUGCAUUACCAUAAACCAUAUCACAUGCCUACAUUUUGCAAAUGAUUUCUGGUUUCUCUUAGUUCUUCUCUAACAUAGUACUUUCUUUCCAGCAAAAGCAAAAUGUGUUUUCAGAUUUGUUACUUUAAUAAAAGUUAUCCAUACCAAUAAAAAGUGUACAACAC